Molecule: ribosomal RNA, 901 nt
Filed under: Septoria obesa
Lineage: Eukaryota; Fungi; Ascomycota; Dothideomycetes; Mycosphaerellales; Mycosphaerellaceae
Description: LSU rRNA
Rfam family: Eukaryotic large subunit ribosomal RNA
Source: RNAcentral
AGCAUAUCAAUAAGCGGAGGAAAAGAAACCAACGGGGAUUGCCCUAGUAACGGCGAGUGAAGCGGCAACAGCUCAAAUUUGAAAUCUGGCGCAAGCCCGAGUUGUAAUUUGUAGAGGAUGCUUCUGGGUAGCGACCGGUCUAAGUUCCUUGGAACAGGACGUCAUAGAGGGUGAGAAUCCCGUAUGUGACCGGCCCGCACCCUCGACGUAGCUCCUUCGACGAGUCGAGUUGUUUGGGAAUGCAGCUCUAAAUGGGAGGUAAAUUUCUUCUAAAGCUAAAUACCGGCCAGAGACCGAUAGCGCACAAGUAGAGUGAUCGAAAGAUGAAAAGUACUUUGGAAAGAGAGUUAAAAAGCACGUGAAAUUGUUGAAAGGGAAGCGCCUGCAACCAGACUUCGCGGCAGUGUUCCGCCGGUCUUCUGACCGGUUCAUUCUCUGCCGCGAGGCCAUCAUCGUCUGGGCCCGCCGGAUAAGACCUUGGGAAUGUAGCUCACCUUCGGGGGAGUGUUAUAGCCUAGGGUGAUGCGGCGCGGCUCGGGCGAGGUCCGCGCUUCGGCAAGGAUGAUGGCGUAAUGGUUGUCGGCGGCCCGUCUUGAAACACGGACCAAGGAGUCUAACAUCUAUGCGAGUGUUCGGGUGUCAAACCCCUACGCGUAAUGAAAGUGAACGGAGGUGGGAACCGCAAGGUGCACCAUCGACCGAUCCUGAUGUCCUCGGAUGGAUUUGAGUAAGAGCAUAGCUGUUGGGACCCGAAAGAUGGUGAACUAUGCCUGAAUAGGGUGAAGCCAGAGGAAACUCUGGUGGAGGCUCGCAGCGGUUCUGACGUGCAAAUCGAUCGUCAAAUUUGGGUAUAGGGGCGAAAGACUAAUCGAACCAUCUAGUAGCUGGUUCCUGCCGAAGU